Molecule: ribosomal RNA, 172 nt
Filed under: uncultured bacterium
Lineage: Bacteria
Description: partial 16S ribosomal RNA
Rfam family: Bacterial small subunit ribosomal RNA
Source: RNAcentral
UGAGUGACCUGCCGAUUCGCGGGGGAUAGCCGGCCCAACGGCCGGGUAAUACCGCAUACGUUCUUUUGGGGCAUCCCGAAAAGAAGAAACCUCCGGGGCGAAUCGAGGGACUCGCGGCCUAUCAGCUAGUUGGCGAGGUAACGGCUCACCAAGGCUACGACGGGUAGCUGGU